Molecule: non-coding RNA, 76 nt
Organism: Merluccius polli (Benguela hake)
Lineage: Eukaryota; Metazoa; Chordata; Actinopteri; Gadiformes; Merlucciidae
Source: the annotation of a GenBank genome assembly
GUUUCUGUAGUGUUAGUGGUGUAUCACGUUCUCUUUACACGCGAAAGGUCCCUGGUUCGAAACCGGGCAGAUGGCA